This 254-nucleotide ribosomal RNA is filed under the name Globigerinita uvula. RNAcentral describes it as "partial 18S ribosomal RNA". It matches the Rfam family "Eukaryotic small subunit ribosomal RNA", at positions 1164 to 1379 of the family's 1831-position model. Lineage: Eukaryota; Foraminifera; Rotaliida; Globigerinitidae. The record is from RNAcentral.
GCACCACAAGAACGCGUGGAGCAUGUGGCUUAAUUUGACUCAACGCGGGAAAUCUUACCGGGUCCGGACACACUGAGGAUUGACAGGCAAUAUAUGUGACUCUUCGGAGUUUGCAUUGUUAAAUAUGCUAGUCCUUUCAUGAUUAUGUGAUAGGUGGUGCAUGGCCGUUCUUAGUUCGUGGAGUGAUCUGUCUGCUUAAUUGCGUUUCAAAUUACUUAUAAGGUAGCAAUACGCGAUGAAACUUUCAAUAGUCC